GAUGAACGCUGACAGAAUGCUUAACACAUGCAAGUCUACUUGAUCCUUCGGGUGAUGGUGGCGGACGGGUGAGUAACGCGUAAAGAACUUGCCUUGCAGUCUGGGACAACGUUUGGAAACGAACGCUAAUACCGCAUAACAUAGCGAGACCGCAUGAUCUUGCUAUCAAAGAUUUUAUCGGUGAAAGAUGGACUCGCGUCCGAUUAGGUAGUUGGUGAGGUAACGGCCCACCAAGCCGACGAUCGGUAGCCGGACUGAGAGGUUGAACGGCCACAUUGGGACUGAGACACGGCCCAG
This 297-nucleotide ribosomal RNA is filed under the name uncultured bacterium. RNAcentral's name for it is "partial 16S ribosomal RNA". It matches the Rfam family "Bacterial small subunit ribosomal RNA", at positions 28 to 334 of the family's 1533-position model. The record is from RNAcentral.